RNAcentral lists this long non-coding RNA (1256 nucleotides) under Coturnix japonica (Japanese quail). Its description in RNAcentral is "lncRNA (ENSCJPG00005019349.1)". Lineage: Eukaryota; Metazoa; Chordata; Aves; Galliformes; Phasianidae. The record is from RNAcentral.
UAAUACUUUUCUACUUUGCACACAUUUGGGAGCUUGCGGGGUGGGCCAACUACAUACCUUAGUGCUGCUUGUGCUUUAUAGUCUGCACCCACAACUUCUGUCAUGUAUGAGAUGGACUGGAACCUUAUUUUGAUUUGGGUACACUGUUCGGUAAUCAUCAUCAGAGUUCAGAAGUCUAGCAGGUCCCUUCUCAGUUUUGUACAGCAGAUCAUGCACUUCUGCAAAACUGUGUUCAGCUCUGUAUGAGAAAUUGGUAAUCACAGCCUGAACUGAACCUCUGAUUAAUCAGCUGAGGCAAAUAUAAAAUCUGCUGUGGGAGCACAGGUGACAGUAAUCUAGCUGUGCUCCCAGAAGGGUUGGAGCUUGACUCCACCCCCUCUAGACCUCAUUUAAGGGCUGACCACCACUAAGGCAGCAUCUCUUGGAAACUGCUUCCUGGUAGAGAUUGCCUCAGCAUUUCCCAGUGAAAGCAUCCAUAUUGGUGAGUUUUUCCCUAUAAAUAACCUUUUGAAUAUUUGUUACCAUCUUUGUAUCACUCCACCUUGCAAGUUGCAACCUUUUUAGUGUAUAUAUCUGUACAUUUCAGUUACCCAUCCAAACAUACUGAGAGCAGCCAACUGCAUUUAUAUAAUACAAUUUUGUGUAGCUGGGCUAUAAAAAAAUUUCAGUGUAUAUGUGGUUGCUAAGAAACAACUACUGCGCUGUGUAGCUUAGGUAGGUUUUUGCAGAUUUACACUUGAAAACAUGAUUCAGAAAACUUCUUCUCUGAAAGCAAGAAUCAAGAAAAUAGGGACCCUUCAUGAAGAUUAAGCAUCCUAGGACUUGGGGAAUGUCAGAAGAAUAGGACUAGUGGGACAUGUCGACACUGCUAAUACAGUUGGGAUAGCACAGCUGAGUCUAUAGUUAAGAUAAUACAGAUGGAAGAGAAAGGUAGCCAAAGAAACUGGCUUUGACUGAUUGAGUAGAGGAGCUGGGUUGAAGUAAGCUGAGGAAGACUUCUGACUUCAUCCCAAUGACCACCAGUGCGAGACCCACACUACGGACUGUGCACGUGUCAGUAGGAGGGACAGCAGGUAAAUGAGUUCCUGGAAAAACAAUGAAUAUGUUAAUGAUUUCUCAGAAAUUUGAUGAAUAUGUAUACACUUGCUCUAUAACUUUGUAACCCUCCUGCCUUUUGGUGUGCAUGAUAGGAGGAGUGAUCCCCCAUGUGCCCAGCGCUGAAUAAACACAUACCUGCUUUAUAACCUAUCUCUGGU